CAGUCGCCGCGGGAAUACGAAGGGGGCUAGCGUUGCUCGGAAUGACUGGGCGUAAAGGGCGCGUAGGCGGCGAUCAAAGUCAGGCGUGAAAUUCCUGGGCUCAACCUGGGGGCUGCGCUUGAUACUUGGUUGCUUGAGUGGGGAAGAGGGUCGUGGAAUUCCCAGUGUAAAGGUGAAAUUCGUAGAUAUUGGGAAGAACACCGGUGGCGAAGGCGGCAACCUGGCUCAUUACUGACGCUGAGGCGCGAAAGCGUGGGGAGCAAACAGGAUUAGAUACCCCAGUAGUCCCUGUCUCUUAUAC
Molecule: ribosomal RNA, 301 nt
Filed under: uncultured bacterium
Lineage: Bacteria
Description: partial 16S ribosomal RNA
Rfam family: Bacterial small subunit ribosomal RNA
Source: RNAcentral